GGGCCCGCACAAGCGGUGGAGUAUGUGGUUUAAUUCGAUGCAACGCGAAGAACCUUACCAGGGUUUGACAUCCUGCGAAUUUCUGGGAAACAGGAGAGUGCCUUCGGGAACGCAGUGACAGGUGGUGCAUGGCUGUCGUCAGCUCGUGUCGUGGAGAUGUUGGUUAGUCCCGCAACGAGCGCAACCCACGUCUUUAGUUGCCAGCAUUUAGUUGGGCACUCUAGAGAGACUGCCGGUGAUAAACCGGAGGAAGGUGUGGAUGACGUCAAGUCAUCAUGCCCCUUACAUCCUGGGCUACACACGUACUACAAUGCUACGGACAAAGGGCUGCAAGUUCGCGAGGACAAG
RNAcentral lists this ribosomal RNA (348 nucleotides) under uncultured bacterium. RNAcentral describes it as "bacterial SSU rRNA". It matches the Rfam family "Bacterial small subunit ribosomal RNA", at positions 917 to 1267 of the family's 1533-position model. The record is from RNAcentral.